AGAGUUUGAUCAUGGCUCAGAAUCAACGCUGGCGGCGUGCCUAACACAUGCAAGUCGAGCGAGAGGAAGUAGCAAUACUUUAGUAAAGCGGCGCACGGGUGAGUAACACGUGGAUAACCUGCCUCGAAGUGGGGAAUAACACCGGGAAACCGGUGCUAAUACCGCAUAAUCUGACGAGAUCUGUGGAUUUUGUCAGCAAAGGAGCAAUUCGCUUUGAGAGGGGUCCGCGGCUGAUUAGCUAGUUGGUGAGGUAAUGGCUCACCAAGGCCACGAUCAGUAGCCGGUCUGAGAGGACGGUCGGCCACACUGGAACUGAGACACGGUCCAGACUCCUACGGGAGGCAGCAGUGGGGAAUUUUUCGCAAUGGGGGCAACCCUGACGAAGCAACGCCGCGUGGGUGAUGAAGUAUUUCGGUACGUAAAACCCUUUCGACGGGGACGAAACCGCAAGGUUGACGGUACCCGUAGAAGAAGCCCCGGCUAACUCCGUGCCAGCAGCCGCGGUAAUACGGGGGGGGCAAGCGUUGUUCGGAAUUACUGGGCGUAAAGGGCGCGUAGGCGGCUCGCUAAGUUGGAUGUGAAAACUCUGGGCUUAACCCAGAGCCUGCAUCCAAAACUGGCAAGCUUGAGUACUGGAGGGGAAAGCGGAAUUCCUGGUGUAGCGGUGAAAUGCGUAGAUAUCAGGAGGAACACCGGUGGCGAAGGCGGCUUUCUGGACAGUAACUGAGCUGAGGCGCGAAAGCUAGGGGAGCAAACAGGAUUAGAUACCCUAGUAGUCC
RNAcentral lists this ribosomal RNA (779 nucleotides) under uncultured bacterium. RNAcentral's name for it is "bacterial SSU rRNA". It matches the Rfam family "Bacterial small subunit ribosomal RNA", at positions 8 to 796 of the family's 1533-position model. The record is from RNAcentral.